Molecule: ribosomal RNA, 301 nt
Filed under: uncultured bacterium
Lineage: Bacteria
Description: partial 16S ribosomal RNA
Rfam family: Bacterial small subunit ribosomal RNA
Source: RNAcentral
CAGUCGCCACGGUAAUACGUAGGUGGCAAGCGUUGUCCGGAAUUAUUGGGCGUAAAGCGCGCGCAGGUGGUUUAAUAAGUCUGAUGUGAAAGCCCACGGCUCAACCGUGGAGGGUCAUUGGAAACUGUUAAACUUGAGUGCAGGAGAGAAAGGUGGAAUUCCUAGUGUAGCGGUGAAAUGCGUAGAGAUUAGGAGGAACACCAGUGGCGAAGGCGGCUUUUUGGCCUGUAACUGACACUGAGGCGCGAAAGCGUGGGGAGCAAACAGGAUUAGAUACCCGCGUAGUCCCUGUCUCUUAUAC